Molecule: ribosomal RNA, 253 nt
Filed under: uncultured bacterium
Lineage: Bacteria
Description: partial 16S ribosomal RNA
Rfam family: Bacterial small subunit ribosomal RNA
Source: RNAcentral
UACGUAGGGUCCGAGCGUUAAUCGGAAUUACUGGGCGUAAAGCGUGCGCAGGCGGUUCGACAAGUCCGAUGUGAAAGCCCCGGGCUCAACCUGGGAAUGGCAUUGGAAACUGGCGGGCUGGAGUGUGGCAGAGGGGGGUGGAAUUCCGCGUGUAGCAGUGAAAUGCGUAGAGAUGCGGAGGAACACCGAUGGCGAAGGCAGCCCCCUGGGCUGACACUGACGCUCAGGCACGAAAGCGUGGGGAGCAAACAGG